RNAcentral lists this ribosomal RNA (296 nucleotides) under uncultured microorganism. RNAcentral describes it as "partial 16S ribosomal RNA". It matches the Rfam family "Bacterial small subunit ribosomal RNA", at positions 505 to 796 of the family's 1533-position model. The record is from RNAcentral.
GUGCCAGCAGCCGCGGUAAUACGUAGGGUGCGAGCGUUAAUCGGAAUUACUGGGCGUAAAGCGUGCGCAGGCGGUUCGCUAAGACCGAUGUGAAAUCCCCGGGCUUAACCUGGGAACUGCAUUGGUGACUGGCGGGCUAGAGUAUGGCAGAGGGGGGUAGAAUUCCACGUGUAGCAGUGAAAUGCGUAGAGAUGUGGAGGAAUACCCGAUGGCGAAGGCAGCCCCCCUGGGCCAAUACUGACGCUCAUGCACGAAAAGCGUGGGGAGCAAACAGGAUUAGAUACCCCUGGUAGUCC